Molecule: unclassified non-coding RNA, 160 nt
Filed under: uncultured Fusarium
Lineage: Eukaryota; Fungi; Ascomycota; Sordariomycetes; Hypocreales; Nectriaceae
Description: partial internal transcribed spacer 2
Source: RNAcentral
CAACCCUCAAACCUCACGGUUUGGUGUUGGGGAUCGGGUUGCUUAGGCAAUCCGCCCCCGAAAUCUAGUGGCGGUCUCUCUGCAGCCUCCAUUGCGUAGUAGCUAACACCUCGCAACUGGAAAGCGGAGCGGCCACGCCGUUAAACCCCCAACUUCUGAA